GGGCCGCAAACAAGUGGGGACUGACGGACGGACAGACUUAAAAUGUGAUUCAUAUAUCCUCUUUAACUUUGCUUGUGGUUGUAUUAAACAUGUAAGAUAGUGAUUUCCGAUCUUGACACGGUUUGUAGGCUGUUAACAAACAGGAGACUAUUGUCACUGUUGAUGUGACAAAGACGUCUACUUUUUACUCUCUUUAUUGCGUUGUUUUCUCUCCCUUUUACUCGUCCAACUUACAAAUAUUUCAUCAUAUUUUUUUUUUUU
RNAcentral lists this long non-coding RNA (261 nucleotides) under Mytilus galloprovincialis (Mediterranean mussel). Lineage: Eukaryota; Metazoa; Mollusca; Bivalvia; Mytilida; Mytilidae. The record is from RNAcentral.